This 253-nucleotide ribosomal RNA is filed under the name uncultured bacterium. Its description in RNAcentral is "partial 16S ribosomal RNA". It matches the Rfam family "Bacterial small subunit ribosomal RNA", at positions 524 to 776 of the family's 1533-position model. The record is from RNAcentral.
UACGGAGGGUGCGAGCGUUGUCCGGAAUCACUGGGCGUAAAGGGCGCGUAGGCGGCCUGAUAAGUAGGGGGUGAAAUCCUGCGGCUUAACCGCAGGGCUGCCUUCUAAACUGUCAGGCUUGAGCACAGUAGAGGCAGGUGGAAUUCCCGGUGUAGCGGUGGAAUGCGUAGAGAUCGGGAAGAACACCGGUGGCGAAGGCGGCCUGCUGGGCUACUGCUGACACUGAUGCGCGACAGCGUGGGGAGCAAACAGG